UUUUGUUCCAACAGAUUGAAACUGAUGAAGAUCGAGCUGGAAGGAGUUAACUGAUGAGUAGACAUUACAACAUUUCUUAUAUUUGCAAGAUGAAGCUGAAAGUCCCAUGCAGGAUGAUGCUUCUCUACAGUGGAUGAUGAAGGCAUGCUGGUUACAAACCCAGGAGAGGAACAAAGAACAGAUAUUGACAGAAUCAUAUCUAGAGAUGUGGGCCUACUACACUUCAUACGAGCAAGUGUGCUAAUAUACAAUACUUGGGUUAUCAUCACAGCCCUUUCUUCUGAAAACUAGCCUACAACUUCAUUGAUGAAUGCA
This is a long non-coding RNA of Strongylocentrotus purpuratus (purple sea urchin), 315 nucleotides long. RefSeq lists it as uncharacterized. The record is from RefSeq and is a predicted model, not a curated record. Lineage: Eukaryota; Metazoa; Echinodermata; Echinoidea; Camarodonta; Strongylocentrotidae. The transcript is spliced from 3 exons.